CCUACGGGCGGCAGCAGUGAGGAAUAUUGGUCAAUGGACGAGAGUCUGAACCAGCCAAGUAGCGUGAAGGAUGACUGCCCUAUGGGUUGUAAACUUCUUUUAUAUGGGAAUAAAAUGUUCCACGUGUGGGAUUUUGUAUGUACCAUAUGAAUAAGGAUCGGCUAACUCCGUGCCAGCAGCCGCGGUAAUACGGAGGAUCCGAGCGUUAUCCGGAUUUAUUGGGUUUAAAGGGAGCGUAGGUGGAUUGUUAAGUCAGUUGUGAAAGUUUGCGGCUCAACCGUAAAAUUGCAGUUGAAACUGGCAGUCUUGAGUACAGUAGAGGUGGGUGGAAUUCGUGGUGUAGCGGUGAAAUGCUUAGAUAUCAUGAAGAACUCCGAUUGCGAAGGCAGUUCACUGGACUGCAACUGACACUGAGGCUCGAAAGUGUGGGUAUCAAACAGGAUUAGAUACCCCUGUAGUC
Molecule: ribosomal RNA, 460 nt
Filed under: uncultured bacterium
Lineage: Bacteria
Description: partial 16S ribosomal RNA
Rfam family: Bacterial small subunit ribosomal RNA
Source: RNAcentral